Molecule: ribosomal RNA, 451 nt
Filed under: uncultured bacterium
Lineage: Bacteria
Description: bacterial SSU rRNA
Rfam family: Bacterial small subunit ribosomal RNA
Source: RNAcentral
GUGAGGAAUCUUGCGCAAUGGGCGAAAGCCUGACGCAGCGACGCCGCGUGGAGGAUGAAGGUCUUCGGAUUGUAAACUCCUGUCUAGUGGGACGAAUCCCGUGAGGGUUAACAGCCCUCGCGGUUGACGGUACCGCUGGAGGAAGCCCCGGCUAACUCCGUGCCAGCAGCCGCGGUAAUACGGAGGGGGCUAGCGUUGUUCGGAAUCAUUGGGCGUAAAGGGCGCGUAGGCGGCCAUUCAAGUCGGACGUGAAAUCCCCCGGCUCAACUGGGGAACGGCGUCCGAUACUGUUCGGCUUGAGUCCUGGAGAGGGUAAUGGAAUUCCCAGUGUAGCGGUGAAAUGCGUAGAUACUGGGAGGAACACCAGUGGCGAAGGCGGUUACCUGGACAGGUACUGACGCUGAGGCGCGAAAGCUAGGGGAGCAAACAGGAUUAGAAACCCGAGUAGUCC